Non-coding RNA from Danio rerio (zebrafish), 74 nucleotides. NCBI's taxonomy places the organism in Eukaryota, Metazoa, Chordata, Actinopteri, Cypriniformes, Danionidae. The record is from Rfam.
GUUUGUGUGGCGCAAUCAGUUAGCGCAUUCAACUGUUAACUGAAAGGUUGGUGGUUCAAGCCCACCCAGCGGCG